CGAAGGGGUGAGUAACGCGUGAGAAUCUGCCUUCAGGUUGGGGACAACCACUGGAAACGGUGGCUAAUACCGAAUGUGCCGAGAGGUGAAAGGCUUGCUGCCUGAAGAAGAGCUGCAGUCUGAUUAGCUAGUUGGUGGGGUAAGAGCCUACCAAGGCGACGAUCAGUAGCUGGUCUGAGAGGAUGAUCAGCCACACUGGGACUGAGACACGGCCCAGACUCCUACGGGAGGCAGCAGUGGGGAAUUUUCCGCAAUGGGCGAAAGCCUGACGGAGCAAUACCGCGUGAGGGAGGAAGGCUCUUGGGUUGUAAACCUCUUUUCUCAGGGAAGAAAAAAAUGACGGUACCUGAGGAAUAAGCAUCGGCUAACUCCGUGCCAGCGGCCGCGGUAAUACGGAGGAUGCAAGCGUUAUCCGGAAUGAUUGGGCGUAAAGGGUCCGCAGGUGGUAGUGUAAGUCUGCUGUUAAAGAAUCACGCUCAACGUGAUCAAAGCAGUGGAAACUACACAACUAGAGUACGGUAGGGGCAGAAGGAAUUCCUGGUGUAGCGGUGAAAUGCGUAGAUAUCAGGAAGAACACCGGUGGCGAAAGCGUUCUGCUAGACCUGUACUGACACUGAGGGACGAGAGCUAGGGGAGCGGAUGGGAUUAGAUACCCCAGUAGUC
This 663-nucleotide ribosomal RNA is filed under the name uncultured cyanobacterium. RNAcentral's name for it is "bacterial SSU rRNA". It matches the Rfam family "Bacterial small subunit ribosomal RNA", at positions 99 to 795 of the family's 1533-position model. The record is from RNAcentral. Lineage: Bacteria; Bacillati; Cyanobacteriota.